Caldibacillus debilis is the source of this 152-nucleotide non-coding RNA. The record is from Rfam. NCBI's taxonomy places the organism in Bacteria, Bacillati, Bacillota, Bacilli, Caryophanales, Bacillaceae.
AUAACGGCGACAUUUAUACCGUAGACAGUAGGUGCUUUUCAAAGCUUAAUAUCCUACCGAGGUAUAGGAUGAUCGAAAGCCUGUUUUGACGCGCUUGAAAUCAUGCUUGAACACCUCCAUGUCUACUGACUUGGAGGUUUUCUUUUGCCGGU